UUAGCUCAGCUGGGAGAGCAUCUGCCUUACAAGCAGGGGGUCACAGGUUCGAGCCCUGUA
This 60-nucleotide transfer RNA is filed under the name Pseudobutyrivibrio sp. C4. RNAcentral's name for it is "tRNA_Val_TAC". It matches the Rfam family "tRNA", at positions 7 to 64 of the family's 71-position model. From Rfam's summary of the family: Transfer RNA (tRNA) molecules are approximately 80 nucleotides in length. Their secondary structure includes four short double-helical elements and three loops (D, anti-codon, and T loops). The record is from RNAcentral. Lineage: Bacteria; Bacillati; Bacillota; Clostridia; Lachnospirales; Lachnospiraceae.